CAUAGUUAGUUAAUUCGGAUUCGAUAAAAAUUCAGUAUGUGUAUAAUACGUAUAAAAUUUAUUUUUAAAUUUUUAAAUUUAUCAAAAAAUUCGGUUUAAAAAAUAAAUUCGGUAUAAAAUAUAAAAUAUAAAAUAUAAAAUAUAAGAUAAUUUAUAUUUAAAUAUAAAAAUUAUAAAUUUUUUAUUCAGAUUUUUAAUAAUUUGCAAAUCAUUUACAAAUUAUUUGCAAAUUAUUCGGCUGGCCUAAAAAUUUAUGAAUAAUUAUUUUUUUUAGAAAAAAAUUUUAGACAGACCGUUUAAUUCAAAUUUUUAAUAAUUCGUAAAUAAUUCACGAAUAAUUUAUAAAUUAACC
This 352-nucleotide long non-coding RNA is filed under the name Ananas comosus (pineapple). Its description in RNAcentral is "long non-coding RNA (ACOM_LNC023894)". Lineage: Eukaryota; Viridiplantae; Streptophyta; Magnoliopsida; Poales; Bromeliaceae. The record is from RNAcentral.